RNAcentral lists this unclassified non-coding RNA (329 nucleotides) under soil metagenome. RNAcentral's name for it is "partial contains 5.8S ribosomal RNA, internal transcribed spacer 2, and large subunit ribosomal RNA". The stretch from base 1 to 120 matches the Rfam family "5.8S ribosomal RNA", at positions 35 to 154 of the family's 154-position model. The record is from RNAcentral.
GAUGAAGAACGUAGCGAAAUGCGAUAAGUAAUGUGAAUUGCAGAAUUCAGUGAAUCAUCGAAUCUCUGAACGCACAUUGCGCCCCCUGGUAUUCCGGGGGGCAUGCCUGUUCGAGCGUCAUUACAACCCUCAAGCUCUGCUUGGUAUUGGGCCCCGCCAGUUCUGGCGGGCCCUAAAGUCAGUGGCGGUGCCUUCCGGCUCCGAGCGUAGUAAUUCUUCUCGCUCUGGAGACCCGGUUGUGUGCUUGCCAACAACCCCCAAUUUUUUAAGGUUGACCUCGGAUCAGGUAGGGAUACCCGCUGAACUUAAGCAUAUCAAUAAGCGGAGGA